CAUUAAGAAGCUAAACAGUCCAGCAUUAGCCUUUUAAGCUAAAAAUUGGUGACUCCUAACCACCCUUAAUGA
Molecule: transfer RNA, 72 nt
Filed under: Plesiobatis daviesi
Lineage: Eukaryota; Metazoa; Chordata; Chondrichthyes; Myliobatiformes; Plesiobatidae
Description: tRNA-Lys
Rfam family: tRNA
About the family: Transfer RNA (tRNA) molecules are approximately 80 nucleotides in length.
Source: RNAcentral